GUCCCUGUAGCGCAAUGGAUAGCGCGUUGGACCUCUCAUCCAAAGGUCGUGGGCUUGAAUCAUACCUGGGGUG
Molecule: transfer RNA, 73 nt
Filed under: Trichonephila inaurata madagascariensis
Lineage: Eukaryota; Metazoa; Arthropoda; Arachnida; Araneae; Nephilidae
Rfam family: tRNA
About the family: Transfer RNA (tRNA) molecules are approximately 80 nucleotides in length. Their secondary structure includes four short double-helical elements and three loops (D, anti-codon, and T loops).
Source: Rfam by way of RNAcentral